UACGGAGGGGGUUAGCGUUGUUCGGAAUGACUGGGCGUAAAGGGCACGUAGGCGGUGAAUCGGGUUGGAAGUGAAAGUCGCCAAAAAUUGGCGGGGUGCUUUCGGAACCAAUUCACUUGAGUGAGAUAGGGGAGAGUGGAAUUUCGUGUGUAGGGAUCAAAUCCGGAGAUCUACGAAGGAACGCCAAAAGCGAAGGCAGCUCUCUGGGUCUACACUGACGCUGGGGUGCGAAAGCAUGGGGAGCGAACAGG
RNAcentral lists this ribosomal RNA (251 nucleotides) under uncultured bacterium. RNAcentral's name for it is "partial 16S ribosomal RNA". It matches the Rfam family "Bacterial small subunit ribosomal RNA", at positions 524 to 776 of the family's 1533-position model. The record is from RNAcentral.